This 466-nucleotide ribosomal RNA is filed under the name uncultured bacterium. RNAcentral describes it as "partial 16S ribosomal RNA". It matches the Rfam family "Bacterial small subunit ribosomal RNA", at positions 28 to 506 of the family's 1533-position model. The record is from RNAcentral.
GACGAACGCUGGCGGCGUGCUUAACACAUGCAAGUCGAACGGAAAGGCCCUGCUUUUGUGGGGUGCUCGAGUGGCGAACGGGUGAGUAACACGUGAGUAACCUGCCCUUGACUUUGGGAUAACUUCAGGAAACUGGGGCUAAUACCGGAUAGGAGCUCCUGCUGCAUGGUGGGGGUUGGAAAGUUUCGGCGGUUGGGGAUGGACUCGCGGCUUAUCAGCUUGUUGGUGGGUAGUGGCUUACCAAGGCUUUGACGGGUAGCCGGCCUGAGAGGGUGACCGGCCACAUUGGGACUGAGAUACGGCCCAGACUCCUACGGGAGGCAGCAGUGGGGAAUAUUGCACAAUGGGCGGAAGCCUGAUGCAGCAACGCCGCGUGCGGGAUGACGGCCUUCGGGUUGUAAACCGCUUUCGCCUGUGACGAAGCGUGAGUGACGGUAAUGGGGAAAGAAGCACCGGCUAACUACGU